GAUGAACGCUGGCGGCGUGCCUAAUACAUGCAAGUCGAGCGAACGGAUAAGGAGCUUGCUCCUUUGAAGUUAGCGGCGGACGGGUGAGUAACACGUGGGUAACCUACCUAUAAGACUGGAAUAACUUCGGGAAACCGGAGCUAAUGCCGGAUAACAUUUGGAACUGCAUGGUUCUAAAGUAAAAGAUGGUUUUGCUAUCACUUAUAGAUGGACCCGCGCCGUAUUAGCUAGUUGGUAAGGUAACGGCUUACCAAGGCAACGAUACGUAGCCGACCUGAGAGGGUGAUCGGCCACACUGGAACUGAGACACGGUCCAGACUCCUACGGGAGGCAGCAGUAGGGAAUCUUCCGCAAUGGACGAAAGUCUGACGGAGCAACGCCGCGUGAGUGAUGAAGGUUUUCGGAUCGUAAAACUCUGUUAUUAGGGAAGAACAAAUGUGUAAGUAACUGUGCACAUCUUGACGGUACCUAAUCAGAAAGCCACGGCUAACUACGUGCCAGCCGCCGCCGUAA
Molecule: ribosomal RNA, 513 nt
Filed under: uncultured bacterium
Lineage: Bacteria
Description: partial 16S ribosomal RNA
Rfam family: Bacterial small subunit ribosomal RNA
Source: RNAcentral